RNAcentral lists this long non-coding RNA (570 nucleotides) under Homo sapiens (human). RNAcentral describes it as "novel transcript, sense intronic to PRCD". Lineage: Eukaryota; Metazoa; Chordata; Mammalia; Primates; Hominidae. The record is from RNAcentral.
GUUUGUUUUUUUUUCUUUUUUUUGAGAUGGAGUCUCACUUUGUCACCCAGGCUGGAGUGCAGUGGCAUGAUCUUGGCUCACUGCAACCUCCACCUCCUGAGUUCAAGCAAUUCUCCUGCCUCAGCCUCCUGAGUAGUAGGGACUACCAGCUUACACUACCACGCCCAGCUGAUGUUUGUAUUUUUAGUAGAGACGGGGUUUCAUCAUAUUGGCCAGGCUGGUCUUGAACUCCUGACCUCAAGUGAUCCACCCGCCUCGGCCUCCCAAAGUGGUGGGAUUACAGGCAUGAGCCACCGCACCCGCCUAAGAAGGUGCUUUUGAGGUGACAACAGUGUUCUAAAUCUUAACUGGGAUUGUGGUUACAUGGGUCUAUACACUUAUUGGACUACUGAACCAUACAUUGUAAAUGGUUAUACUGUAUUGUAUGUAAGUUACACGAGAAUAAAGAUGAUUUAGAGAGUUAGAAACAAAACAAGAAUGAAGAAUGAUGCUUGUUUUGCUCACCAUCUAGCAGAAAAGCCAGACAUACAAAUAAUCAUCAAACAGUGGGAUGAGUGUUCAAAGUAUGUU